RNAcentral lists this ribosomal RNA (496 nucleotides) under uncultured bacterium. RNAcentral's name for it is "bacterial SSU rRNA". It matches the Rfam family "Bacterial small subunit ribosomal RNA", at positions 24 to 518 of the family's 1533-position model. The record is from RNAcentral.
UCAGGAUGAACGCUGGCGGCGUGCUUAACACAUGCAAGUCGAACGAGGGUUGCUGGUUGAAGUUUCGGAUGGAAACCGGUAAGUUCCUAGUGGCGGACGGGUGGAGUAACGCGUGGGGAACCUGCCCCGCUCCGGGGGAUACCAGCUGGAAACGGCUGUUAAUACCGCAUAAGCGCACAGUAUCGCAUGAUGCAGUGUGAAAAACUCCGGUGGAACGGGAUGGCCCCGCGUCUGAUUAGCCAGUUGGCAGGGUAACGGCCUACCAAAGCGACGAUCAGUAGCCGGCCUGAGAGGGCGACCGGCCACAUUGGGACUGAGACACGGCCCAAACUCCUACGGGAGGCAGCAGUGGGGAAUAUUGCACAAUGGGGGAAACCCUGAUGCAGCCGACGCCGCGUGAGUGAGGAAGUAUUUCGGUAUGUAAAGCUCUAUCAGCAGGGAAGAAGAUGACGGUACCUGCACAAGAAGCCCCGGCUAACUACGUGCCAGCCGCUGC